This 450-nucleotide ribosomal RNA is filed under the name uncultured bacterium. Its description in RNAcentral is "bacterial SSU rRNA". It matches the Rfam family "Bacterial small subunit ribosomal RNA", at positions 21 to 460 of the family's 1533-position model. The record is from RNAcentral.
GGCUCCAGAUGAACGCCGGCGGCGUGCCUAAUACAUGCAAGUCGAGCGAACAGACGAGGAGCUUGCUCCUCUGACGUUAGCGGCGGACGGGUGAGUAACACGUGGAUAACCCACCUAUAAGACUGGGAUAACUUCGGGAAACCGGAGCUAAUACCGGAUAAUAUAUUGAACCGCAUGGUUCAAUAGUGAAAGACGGUUUUGCUGUCACUUAUAGAUGGAUCCGCGCCGCAUGAGCUAGUUGGUAAGGUAACGGCUUACCAAGGCGACGAUGCGUAGCCGACCUGAGAGGGUGAUCGGCCACACUGGAACUGAGACACGGUCCAGACUCCUACGGGAGGCAGCAGUAGGGAAUCUUCCGCAAUGGGCGAAAGCCUGACGGAGCAACGCCGCGUGAGUGAUGAAGGUCUUCGGAUCGUAAAACUGUGUUAUUAGGGAAGAACAAAUGUGUAA